GGGUGAAGUUGAGAAGGAAAUUCAGACUCCUGUGAGAGCAGAAACGCAGAGAUCUGAACCUGUGCCGAAGGCCAAUGGUUCUGUCUAUAAAAAGAUCAGCGCCUUUGAUGAAAUCCAAAGUAUUGACAAGAGAGAACUUCUGGGCCAAGGCUGAGCAAGAAGAGGAGAAGCGGCGACAAGAG
Long non-coding RNA from Triplophysa rosa, 182 nucleotides. RefSeq lists it as uncharacterized. The transcript has 3 exons. The record is from RefSeq and is a predicted model, not a curated record. NCBI's taxonomy places the organism in Eukaryota, Metazoa, Chordata, Actinopteri, Cypriniformes, Nemacheilidae.